GGCGAGGACCGCGGCCGUGGUCGCGGCGGCUUCGGCCGCGGCGGAGCCCGGGGCGGCUCGGACCGCGGCGGCAGAGGCGGCAGAGGAGGAUUCAGCCGUGGCGGUGGCGUCCAUCCGUCGUGGGCGGCCAAGAAGAGCCAGAGCCCGAGCAUCGGCAAGUUCGAGGGCAAGAAGGUCACGUUUGAUUAGUGGAUUCUGUCCUUUGGAAGCCGUUUUGAAGCGUAUUUUUGAAAUGGUUGACGGGCAACUGCGAGUGAGGGUGUACAAUGGGUCUCGUUUAGUAGCCUUUUCUAGCAGUGCGGUUUCAUCGACAUUGAGUUUACGUGCGGUGGGCUAGCAUCCUGCCUGCUCCAGGAGACCUGCAGUGGCCCACUAACGGCCGGGUCGCGCUGAAGUGUGGUGGAAAGCGGGCGUUAGAUACCUCGGUGAACACGUGGUUUGUAGUUCAUGUCAUCAAUGCGCCGUUUAUGAAGUGCGUUAUCGAGCGUCGAAACGUCAUGAAACAUUGCAAAUAAAUCCUUCUGAAUGCCUCACUC
Long non-coding RNA from Pollicipes pollicipes, 536 nucleotides. RefSeq lists it as uncharacterized. NCBI's taxonomy places the organism in Eukaryota, Metazoa, Arthropoda, Thecostraca, Pollicipedomorpha, Pollicipedidae. The record is from RefSeq and is a predicted model, not a curated record. The transcript is spliced from 2 exons.